GCCUGCGCCUGCGAGCUAGUGGGAGGGCGGUUCUCAGUCCCGCGGGGUGUGGAAGCCGGCGCGGGUGAGAGCCAGGCUCACGUGACCGAGCGGGGCGGGAGGCUGGGCUCCAGGCCACGUGCUGGGAGACCAGCUGGGGAAGACAGGGUUGAGCCCAGCGUUGGGAGCGGAGGCGUCUGGAAAACGCGCCAGGGAAAUGAGCCAGGGGCAAGAAUCGAGGCGCUUCUCGGCCGUCGAAGGCAGCUUAGGACUGCUGAGAGACUGGAGACGGAGUCUGGCUAUGUCGCCCAGGCUGGAGUGCAGUGGCGCGAUCUCGGCUCACUGCAGCCUCCGCCUCCCGGGUUCAAGCGUUUCUCCUGCUUCAUCCUCCUGAGUAGCUGGGACUACAGGCGCGUGCCACCAAGCCUGGCUAAUUUUUGUAUUUUUAGUAGAGACAGGGUUUCACCAUUUUGGCCAGGAUGGUUUUGAUCUCUUGACCUCGUUAUCUGCCUGCCUAGACCUUCCAAAGUGCUGGAAUUACAGGCGUGAGCCACCGCGCCCGGCCACAACCAGUAUUUCUUGCAAAGCAUAAUACAACUUUAUGUAGUAUUAUGUUUUGAGUGGAAUAAAAAUUCACAAUUGUCAAAGAA
Molecule: long non-coding RNA, 629 nt
Organism: Homo sapiens (human)
Lineage: Eukaryota; Metazoa; Chordata; Mammalia; Primates; Hominidae
Exons: 2
Source: RefSeq, a predicted model, not a curated record